AUGACGUUGGGAAAGCGAGCGGCGGAUGGGUGAGUAACACGUGGGGAACCUGCCCCUAAGUCUGGGAUACCAUUUGGAAACAGGUGCUAAUACCGGAUAAUAAAGCAGAUCGCAUGAUCAGCUUUUGAAAGGCGGCGUAAGCUGUCGCUAAGGGAUGGCCCCGCGGUGCAUUAGCUAGUUGGUAAGGUAACGGCUUACCAAGGCGACGAUGCAUAGCCGAGUUGAGAGACUGAUCGGCCACAUUGGGACUGAGACACGGCCCAAACUCCUACGGGAGGCAGCAGUAGGGAAUCUUCCACAAUGGACGCAAGUCUGAUGGAGCAACGCCGCGUGAGUGAAGAAGGUUUUCGGAUCGUAAAGCUCUGUUGUUGGUGAAGAAGGAUAGAGGUAGUAACUGGCCUUUAUUUGACGGUAAUCAACCAGAAAGUCACGGCUAACUACGUGCCAACAGCCGCGGUAUUACGUAGGUGGCAAGCGUUGUCCGGAUUUAUUGUGCGUAAA
Molecule: ribosomal RNA, 501 nt
Filed under: uncultured bacterium
Lineage: Bacteria
Description: bacterial SSU rRNA
Rfam family: Bacterial small subunit ribosomal RNA
Source: RNAcentral